UUUACUGUCUCUUACUUCCAAUCCGUGAAAUUGACCUUCCCGUGAAGAGGCGGGAAUACAACAAUAAGACGAGAAGACCCUAUGGAGCUUUAAUUAACCGACCCAAAGAGACCCAUCAAUUUAACCGACAGGAACAACAAACCUCUGUAUGGGCCGACAAUUUAGGUUGGGGUGACCUCGGAGAACAGAACAACCUCCGAGUGAUUUAAAUCAAGACUAACCAGUCGAAAGUAUUACAUCACUUAUUGAUCCAAAAGUUUGAUCAACGGAACAAGUUACCCUAGGGAUAACAGCGCAAUCCUAUUUCAGAGUCCAUAUCGACAAUAGGGUUU
This 332-nucleotide ribosomal RNA is filed under the name Puma concolor (puma). RNAcentral's name for it is "partial large subunit ribosomal RNA". It matches the Rfam family "Bacterial large subunit ribosomal RNA", at positions 2012 to 2519 of the family's 2925-position model. Lineage: Eukaryota; Metazoa; Chordata; Mammalia; Carnivora; Felidae. The record is from RNAcentral.